This 388-nucleotide ribosomal RNA is filed under the name uncultured Candidatus Brocadia sp. RNAcentral describes it as "bacterial SSU rRNA". It matches the Rfam family "Bacterial small subunit ribosomal RNA", at positions 440 to 828 of the family's 1533-position model. The record is from RNAcentral. Lineage: Bacteria; Pseudomonadati; Planctomycetota; Candidatus Brocadiia; Candidatus Brocadiales; Candidatus Brocadiaceae.
GUGCGGGGAUGUUAAUAGCGUCCUUGCUUGACUAAGGCUCCGGAGGAAGCCACGGCUAACUCUGUGCCAGCAGCCGCGGUAAUACAGAGGCGGCAAGCGUUGUUCGGAAUUAUUGGGCGUAAAGAGCACGUAGGCGGCCGCGUAAGUCGGUUGUGAAAGCCUUCCGCUCAACGGAAGGACGGCAUCCGAUACUGCAUGGCUCGAGUGCGGGAGGGGAGAGUGGAACUUCUGGUGGAGCGGUGAAAUGCGUAGAUAUCAGAAGGAACACCGGCGGCGAAGGCGACUCUCUGGUCCGUAACUGACGCUGAGUGUGCGAAAGCUAGGGGAGCAAACGGGAUUAGAUACCCCGGUAGUCCUAGCCGUAAACGAUGGGCACUAAGUAGAGGGA